UCAGGACGAACGCUGGCGGCGUGCUUAACACAUGCAAGUCGAACGAUGAAGCCCAGCUUGCUGGGSGGAUUAGUGGCGAACGGGUGAGUAAUACGUGAGUAACCUGCCUUUAACUCUGGGAUAAGCCUUGGAAACGGGGUCUAAUACCGGAUACGACCAACCCUCGCAUGAGGUGUUGGUGGAAAGGGAUUUUGUACUGGUUUUAGAUGGGCUCACGGCCUAUCAGCUUGUUGGUGAGGUAACGGCUCACCAAGGCGACGACGGGUAGCCGGCCUGAGAGGGUGACCGGCCACACUGGGACUGAGACACGGCCCAGACUCCUACGGGAGGCAGCAGUGGGGAAUAUUGCACAAUGGGCGCAAGCCUGAUGCAGCGACGCCGCGUGAGGGAUGACGGCCUUCGGGUUGUAAACCUCUUUCAGCAGGGGAGAAGCGAAAGUGACGGUACCUGCAGAAGAAGCGCCGGCUAACUACGUGCCAGCAGCCGCGGUAAUACGUAGGGCGCGAGCGUUGUCCGGAAUUAUUGGGCGUAAAGAGCUUGUAGGCGGUUUGUCGCGUCUGCUGUGAAAGCCCGGGGCUUAACCCCGGGUUUGCAGUGGGUACGGGCAGACUAGAGUGCAGUAGGGGAGACUGGAAUUCCUGGUGUAGCGGUGAAAUGCGCAGAUAUCAGGAGGAACACCAAUGGCGAAGGCAGGUCUCUGGGCUGUAACUGACG
This 714-nucleotide ribosomal RNA is filed under the name Rothia endophytica. RNAcentral describes it as "bacterial SSU rRNA". It matches the Rfam family "Bacterial small subunit ribosomal RNA", at positions 24 to 745 of the family's 1533-position model. The record is from RNAcentral. Lineage: Bacteria; Bacillati; Actinomycetota; Actinomycetes; Micrococcales; Micrococcaceae.